RNAcentral lists this long non-coding RNA (347 nucleotides) under Carica papaya (papaya). RNAcentral describes it as "long non-coding RNA (CPAP_LNC010683)". Lineage: Eukaryota; Viridiplantae; Streptophyta; Magnoliopsida; Brassicales; Caricaceae. The record is from RNAcentral.
CAGAUGCAAACUGACUAGUUAUUUGCUCCAUUGGCAACCUGUACUUUAAUCAAUUAGGGAACAACAGAUUAACUAAAUUUUUUGUUUAUUUAUCAGUUUAGCUUUAAUUUACCGAAUAAAGAAAAUGGGUGAGGGAUUCUUACCCUGAGUUGGUGUCUGAAAUACCACCUUUUUCUCUAUGUUUCCAGACGGUUUUCAAUUCCUGAAUUUCUUGAGUUUUUUUGCUAAAACAAAACUCAUGUCAAAAUUACAUAGAAAUACGCAAAAAAGGGUCAAAAAGGGAAAAAAUCUCACUGAGAGGUCGGUUUAUGAUUCUGGUGCUGAGGCGCCGCCAUGCUCCACUGCCG